CUAGAGAUAGAACAAAUGGUAGUUUACUCGUUUUGGAUGCGAGAGGUUGUAGGUUCGAGUCCUGCUCUCUAGA
This 73-nucleotide transfer RNA is filed under the name Flavobacteriaceae bacterium. RNAcentral describes it as "tRNA-Pro". It matches the Rfam family "tRNA". Rfam says of the family: Transfer RNA (tRNA) molecules are approximately 80 nucleotides in length. Their secondary structure includes four short double-helical elements and three loops (D, anti-codon, and T loops). Further hydrogen bonds mediate the characteristic L-shaped molecular structure. tRNAs have two regions of fundamental functional importance: the anti-codon, which is responsible for specific mRNA codon recognition, and the 3' end, to which the tRNAs corresponding amino acid is attached (by aminoacyl-tRNA synthetases). tRNAs cope with the degeneracy of the genetic code in two manners: having more than one tRNA (with a specific anti-codon) for a particular amino acid; and 'wobble' base-pairing, i.e. permitting non-standard base-pairing at the 3rd anti-codon position. Lineage: Bacteria; Pseudomonadati; Bacteroidota; Flavobacteriia; Flavobacteriales; Flavobacteriaceae. The record is from RNAcentral.